AUGCCUUGGCCUGCUGGCCCUGGAGAUCCCAUCGUCGGCUUCGUCGAACUCAAAGUCGUCGCCCUACCCUGGCCCGUCGCGUCUUCCUGUGCCAUUUCCUGUUGUGCUCAGGUUCCACGAGCUGCCCAUCUCCAGAGAAGAGCAGGUGAGGCCGCUGCCUGUCUUCAUGCGUGUGAGUACAGGUGGCUUUUCUUUCUUUCAGGAUGUUUGCUUUGUAGGAAUUCUAAUUUUUUGCCUUUCCUCAAAGCUGGCAUUGCCCACCGGCCGUGCUGGCUGAAGAAGAGAGGACAUGAGGACCCCAGGAUGCCCAGCGUGAGGACCCCAGGACACCCAGCGCGAGGACCCCAGGACGCCCAGCUCGAGGACCCCAGGACGCCCAGCGCGAGGACCCCAGGACGCCCAGCGCGAGGACCCCAGGACGCCCAGCGCGAGGACCCCAGGACGCCCAGCGCGAGGACUCCACAUCCUUACGUUGCAACCCUCCUGGAAUAGGCCAACAUCGUCAUCACCUGGAAUCCUGCGUGGGACCCUGGACACAUGGACACAGAGCCUGCCCAUAGGACCUUCCAACUGUAAAUC
This 579-nucleotide long non-coding RNA is filed under the name Rattus norvegicus (Norway rat). Its description in RNAcentral is "long non-coding RNA NONRATT033352". Lineage: Eukaryota; Metazoa; Chordata; Mammalia; Rodentia; Muridae. The record is from RNAcentral.